UCCAACACAAGGGAGCAAAGAAUUUAUGCAAGCUUUAGGAAACACAAAUCCUACUGUUGAGUAAAUACUGAGAACACGGCUUCUGCUCUUUAUAGGAAUGGUGCCUCGGUGACACCGCUGUGGCCGUGCAUACGCAUUAAAGAUGCAGUAGGCCACAUUGCUUCUUUAUACAUCGUGAUGGACAGCCGGCGUAGCCAAUCAAAGGUGCUGAAACAAAUAUCCAAGCCAGAUAGGGAGAUCUGGCUUCUGAAGUUGUUGACACAAAGCAGAUAAGUCUUCUUGUUUUACGCCAGAUUUUGCUUUCUUCCGGUGGAACCUAUUUUCAGUUGAAGUAAACUUGAUUUUCAGAUCACACGGUUGAGGGCCUCAUACGAACAGUUCCACCAUGAGAUGACCCGACUAGCUGGUCAAGUCCAUCCCAGCGCCGAGGCAGAGCAUGAAGGUGAGACGCGGCCCGCCUGGCAGCGGCGCGGUCACCGGCUGGCCGGAUGUUUACCUGUGGGCUGCAGAGCAAGCCGAGGAGGGUCAGCAGCAGCAGAGCGUCCCCCCCCGGAGCCCCCCUCCACGACCUCCUGCCGGGGGAGGGCAGCGGCAGCAGCAUCGGCCUGGUGGCGGUGGUCACUUUGGUUCCUCGUGAGGUUCUCUGAAUCCUCGCGGUUGUCGCGUCUUCUCCUCCCUUUGCCGAGCGACACCUUUCGUCCGCCUCAACGUCCUCACUCGAGCUCCAUCCUGUUCCCGACGCUCCGCACCUUACGGUGCCUCCUCGAUGACGACUUUCUCAACACGAUCGGGGGAAACACAACUCGAUCUAGAUAGUACAGAACAACGCACAGCUCUGACUUCCCGGUUUGGUCUUCAAUGAUUAAUCUUCACACACACACACCUCUACACACACACACACACACACACACACACACACACACACACACACACACACACACACACACACACACACACACACACAGAAAUACACAAACACCUCCACAC
This is a long non-coding RNA of Gadus macrocephalus (Pacific cod), 987 nucleotides long. RefSeq lists it as uncharacterized. The record is from RefSeq and is a predicted model, not a curated record. NCBI's taxonomy places the organism in Eukaryota, Metazoa, Chordata, Actinopteri, Gadiformes, Gadidae. The transcript is spliced from 2 exons.